RNAcentral lists this ribosomal RNA (497 nucleotides) under uncultured bacterium. Its description in RNAcentral is "partial 16S ribosomal RNA". It matches the Rfam family "Bacterial small subunit ribosomal RNA", at positions 28 to 507 of the family's 1533-position model. The record is from RNAcentral.
GAUGAACGCUGGCGGCGUGCCUAAUACAUGCAAGUCGAGCGAACGGACGAGAAGCUUGCUUCUCUGAUGUUAUCGGCGGACGGGUGAGUAACACGUGGAUAACCUACCUAUAAGACUGGGAUAACUUCGGGAAACCGGAGCUAAUACCGGAUAAUAUUUUGAACCGCAUGGUUCAAAAGUGAAAGACGGUCUUGCUGUCACUUAUAGAUGGAUCCGCGCUGCAUUAGCUAGUUGGUAAGGUAACGGCUUACCAAGGCAACGAUGCAUAGCCGACCUGAGAGGGUGAUCGGCCACACUGGAACUGAGACACGGUCCAGACUCCUACGGGAGGCAGCAGUAGGGAAUCUUCCGCAAUGGGCGAAAGCCUGACGGAGCAACGCCGCGUGAGUGAUGAAGGUCUUCGGAUCGUAAAACUCUGUUAUUAGGGAAGAACAUAUGUGUAAGUAACUGUGCACAUCUUGACGGUACCUAAUCAGAAAGCCACGGCUAACUACGCG